GGAUUGUGGCUCAGCGGUAGAGCACUCACCUAGCGCAUGCGAGGCCCUGGGUUCAAUCCUCAGUACCA
Molecule: transfer RNA, 68 nt
Filed under: Marmota monax (woodchuck)
Lineage: Eukaryota; Metazoa; Chordata; Mammalia; Rodentia; Sciuridae
Description: tRNA.Ala
Source: RNAcentral